GCCGGUGUGAUGGAAUUGGUAGACGUGCUGGACUCAAAAUCCUGUGGUAGUGAUACCGUAUCGGUUCGACCCCGAUCACCGGCACCA
This 87-nucleotide transfer RNA is filed under the name Clostridia bacterium. RNAcentral's name for it is "tRNA-Leu". It matches the Rfam family "tRNA". Rfam says of the family: Transfer RNA (tRNA) molecules are approximately 80 nucleotides in length. RNAcentral also lists the same sequence under 1 other name. The record is from RNAcentral. Lineage: Bacteria; Bacillati; Bacillota; Clostridia.